UACGUAGGUGGCAAGCGUUGUUCGGAAUUAUUGGGCGUAAAGGGCGCGUAGGCGGCUUGUUAAGUCGGCUGUGAAAGCCCGGGGCUCAACCCCGGAGGGUCAGCCGAUACUGGCAGGCUAGAGUACGGAAGAGGUAGCUGGAAUUCCCGGUGUAGCGGUGAAAUGCGUAGAUAUCGAGAGGAACACCUGCGGCGAAGGCGGGUUGCUGGGCCGACACUGACGCUGAUGCGCGAAAGCCAGGGGAGCGAACGGG
Molecule: ribosomal RNA, 253 nt
Filed under: uncultured bacterium
Lineage: Bacteria
Description: partial 16S ribosomal RNA
Rfam family: Bacterial small subunit ribosomal RNA
Source: RNAcentral